GAUGAACGCUGGCGGCGUGCCUAAUACAUGCAAGUCGAGCGAACGGACGAGAAGCUUGCUUCUCUGAUGUUAGCGGCGGACGGGUGAGUAACACGUGGAUAACCUACCUAUAAGACUGGGAUAACUUCGGGAAACCGGAGCUAAUACCGGAUAAUAUUUUGAACCGCAUGGUUCAAAAGUGAAAGACGGUCUUGCUGUCACUUAUAGAUGGAUCCGCGCUGCAUUAGCUAGUUGGUAAGGUAACGGCUUACCAAGGCAACGAUGCAUAGCCGACCUGAGAGGGUGAUCGGCCACACUGGAACUGAGACACGGUCCAGACUCCUACGGGAGGCAGCAGUAGGGAAUCUUCCGCAAUGGGCGAAAGCCCGACGGAGCAACGCCGCGUGAGUGAUGAAGGUCUUCGGAUCGUAAAACUCUGUUAUUAGGGAAGAACAUAUGUGUAAGUAACUGUGCACAUCUUGACGGUACCUAAUCAGAAAGCCACGGCUAACUACGUGCCAGCAGCCGCGGUAAUACGUAGGUGGCAAGCGUUAUCCGGAAUUAUUGGGCGUAAAGCGCGCGUAGCGGUUUUUUAAGUCUGAUGUGAAAGCCCACGGCUCAACCGUGGAGGGUCAUUGGAAACUGGAAAACUUGAGUGCAGAAGAGGAAAGUGGAAUUCCAUGUGUAGCGGUGAAAUGCGCAGAGAUAUGGAGGAACACCAGUGGCGAAGGCGACUUUCUGGUCUGUAACUGACGCUGAUGUGCGAAAGCGUGGGGAUCAAACAGGAUUAGAUACCCUGGUAGUCCACGCCGUAAACGAUGAGUGCUAAGUGUUAGGGGGUUUCCGCCCCUUAGUGCUGCAGCUAACGCAUUAAGCACUCCGCCUGGGGAGUACGACCGCAAGGUUGAAACUCAAAGGAAUUGACGGGGACCCGCACAAGCGGUGGAGCAUGUGGUUCAAUUCGAAGCAACGCGGAGAACCUUACCAAAUCUUGACAUCCUUUGACAACUCUAGAGAUAGAGCCUUCCCCUUCGGGGGACAAAGUGACAGGUGGUGCAUGGUUGUCGUCAGCUCGUGUCGUGAGAUGUUGGGUUAAGUCCCGCAACGAGCGCAACCCUUAAGCUUAGUUGCCAUCAUUAAGUUGGGCACUCUAAGUUGACUGCCGGUGACAAACCGGAGGAAGGUGGGGAUGACGUCAAAUCAUCAUGCCCCUUAUGAUUUGGGCUACACACGUGCUACAAUGGACAAUACAAAGGGCAGCGAAACCGCGAGGUCAAGCAAAUCCCAUAAAGUUGUUCUCAGUUCGGAUUGUAGUCUGCAACUCGACUACAUGAAGCUGGAAUCGCUAGUAAUCGUAGAUCAGCAUGCUACGGUGAAUACGUUCCCGGGUCU
Molecule: ribosomal RNA, 1371 nt
Filed under: uncultured bacterium
Lineage: Bacteria
Description: bacterial SSU rRNA
Rfam family: Bacterial small subunit ribosomal RNA
Source: RNAcentral